UACGGAAGGCAGCAGUGGGGAAUAUUGCACAAUGGGCGAAAGCCUGAUGCAGCUAUGCCGCGUGUAUGAAGAAGGCCUUAGGGUUGUAAAGUACUUUCAUCGGGGAGGAAAAAACAAAACUAAUAAUUUUAUUUCUUGACGUUACCCGAAAAAGAAGCACCGGCUAACUCCGUGCCAGCAGCCGCGGUAAUACGGAGGGUGCUAGCGUUAAUCAGAAUUACUGGGCGUAAAGAGCACGUAGGUGGUUUUUUUAAGUCAGAUGUGAAAUCCCUGGGCUUAACCUGGAACUGCAUUUUGAAACUGAAAUACUAGAGUAUCGUAGAGGGAGGUAGAAUUCUAGGUGUAGCGGUGAAAUGCGUAGAUAUCUGGAGGAAUACCUGUGGCGAAAGCGGCCUCCUAAACGAAUACUGACACUGAGGUGCGAAAGCGUGGGGAGCAAACAGGGAUUAGAUACC
This 455-nucleotide ribosomal RNA is filed under the name uncultured bacterium. RNAcentral's name for it is "bacterial SSU rRNA". It matches the Rfam family "Bacterial small subunit ribosomal RNA", at positions 340 to 786 of the family's 1533-position model. The record is from RNAcentral.